CGUCGCGGGGAACUCUAAACGUGGCCCCUUCCCUCUCACCGGGUAGUUGGGGCUGUGGCUUUGCUCCCCGGACCCAGUGGGGAGCAAACGGGCCCCUGUGGUCCCUCCGCCCUAACUCCUGACCCCUUCCCCCGGCCUGCACGACCAGACUGCUGGCCCCAAACCACUACCUUCCCGCCCUUCUCUUGGCCUUUGAGUAGUCCAGCCCCAAUUCCACUGACCAUACAUUUGGGGUCAGCUUCUUUUCUCCCACCGCUCCGGCCCCAAGCCCGUCGGCAAGCCUGAACCCAGCUCCUGUGCUCUACAACGCUCGUGCCCUCAGACUCCGCCCCGCUGCACACGACCCGGCCUCUUGGGCCGGGUCCCCUGACCAGUCUCCUCGGACCCUCUGACUCUUUUGGUCCUUCUCUAUCUCUCACCCCUUAUCCACCCCCCCUGUACAAUUCCCAGUUCUUUAACACAGUUUCCCUGAUCUUUCCAAGCUCCUCUCUCCCCUUCCUCCCCCGCCAGCUCUCGACUUGAUCCCAAAGACCCCGAACUAAGGCCCUUCAGCCCGCUUUCCACCUUGGCCUCUUCCCUCUAACCCAGGCCUUUGGCCUUCAGCAUCAGUGAUCAACAACCCCACCUUCUUGGCGCUAACUUCUUAGACUUGGCUCCUUUACCACUGCCUCAGUCCCUUCCACCUUUGGUCCUCCCUGUACCUCUGAGCCUCCUGGGAAGACAAGCCCCAUGGGCCCCUUUCUCCUCUGAAAUCUCUGAAAUGUAAUAUGUAAGAGCCUCUUUACUUUACCUGCCACUGUCUUCUCAGUAGAUGGUGGGCUCCCCAUCUCACUAAGUCCCAACGUUGCGCACCCAUCCUGCAAGUCGUAGCUCAAAGACCACCUUUUCCGUCAAGCUGCUCAUCUCUGAGCUCUUCAGGGAGAUAUGCCUGUGUCAUCAGAACUACCAUGGCGCUGUUCCUUCUUUCCUUUCUUCCUUCCCUCUUUCUCUCCUCUUCCUCCGAUACUGGUGUAGUGCUUAAAAGCACUGGCUUUGGAGUGAUGGGCAUGGCUCCCAGUUCUGCCACUCACUUGCUGUGUGCCCUUGGGCAAAUUACGAUUUCCCUGCUUCCACUGGAACUUAACCUUCUACACUGUAUGAGUUUCUGGAGUUCAUGGCCUAUUUCACUGCACUGUACCAUAAACUCUUUUAGGGUGGUGACUAUAAUCUUAAAUCUUUUUGCUCUUUUUUGACCCAGCAUUCAGCCGUGGGUAGAGUCGCAGCUUGGUAUAUUGUGGGUUCUCAGGAUAGCAGGAUUGGUAGUGAAUGGAGGCCAUGUAGCUCAUUGCAUAAAGACAGAUGUUGGAGCCCUAGGUGGGAUGGGCAGCGGUAGGAAGUAAAUUAGAUCAUAUCCAUUCCCUUGUACUUAAAAAAAGUUUUGAGCACCAGGCCUUGUGCUGGAGAGAUUGCCAGAAUGACCCAGUCCCUGCCCUCAAGUUGCUUAUAAACUAAUAGUGGAAAUAGACAUGUAAACAGAUAAUUGCAAAUCACUGUAAAAGCAAGUACAAGAUUCUGUGGGUGCAUAAAGGAGGAAGUGGGCAGGAAUUAGGAGAUUGUUAAGGAAUAGUGGGUGAGAAUAGACACAAGUAGGCAUGAAAUGGGUUCUGGAGACAGGCCCGGCCUUCAUUCAGUUCGUUCAGCAGAUAUUUAUUAAGGAUCUACUAGGUAUGACUGCCACUGCUGUAGGAGUUGGGGUUAUAUUAAUGAAUAAAGCAAAGAACCUGGCCCUCACGGGACUUAGGUUUUGCAGGGGGAGGCCGAUACUAAAUAAUAGACAUAAAAAACAUUGUUAGGAGUUGAGAAGUUCUGUGGGGCAGGGGAGACUGAGUGAAGGGGAAGGGGUCGUAAUUUUUUAAUUUAUUUUUUUGGAGGGGUUGUAAUUUUUAAAAGGAUGGUCAGGAGACAGUGAAUAAGUAUCGGAAUAAAUUGUUCCUGAUUUUUUUUUACAUUUUUGAAGGUGAAGCAAGCCUGUUAUUUUUCACAUCACUUAUCUAGAUUCUUGAAAAAGCACUCUCUAAUAGAGAUUGGUAAAUUAUACUUCACCUCCUUUUGUUUUUUUUUAAUAGAUCUUUAUUGGAGUAUAAUUGCUUCACAAUGCUGUGUUAGUUUCUGCUGUACACCAAAGUGAAUCAGCCAUAUGCGUACAUAUGUCCUCAUAUCCCCUCCCUCUUGAGCCUCCCUCCCAUCCUCCCUGUCCCACCCCUCUAGGUCAUUGCAAAGCACCGAGCUGAUCUCCCUGUGCUAUGAUGCUGCUUCCCACUAGCUAACUAUUUUACAUUUGGUAGUGUGUAUAUGUCAAUGCUACUCUCACUUCGCCCCAGCUUCCCCCUCCCACCCCGUGUCCUCAAGUCCAUUCUCUAUGUCUACAUCUUUAUCCCUGCCCUGCUUUUAAAUAAAGUUUUAUGAAAACAGACACACCCAAUCAUUUACAGAUUUUCUAUGGCUGCUUUUAUGAUACAAUGGCAGAGUUGAGUAGCUGCAACAGAGAUCCUAUGGCCCCCAAAAUUUACUAAACAUAUACUCUCUGGUCCUUUGCAGAAAGUUUGCUGACCUCCCACUCCUUAAAGAUUUAAGGUACUGUCCGUAUUUCACAUUUUAGAUUAUAUGUACUGUACCAUUUUUUAAUUGAAUUUUUUUUGUUUCCCAACAAGAUCAUGUAAGGGAUCUUUUUCAUACUUGCCUUCUUCACAGGGCUAGCAUGUAGCGUCUUCAACAGUUGUAGUAGCAGCUGUCAUGUACUGAAUGACUAGUACUGCCACACUUUACACUGGGCAUAUUAUAGGCAUUUUCUCUAACAAAGUCCUGCUGUGUCUGUUGGUAUCACAAUUUUAGUGAUGUGGAAGUUGAGGCUCAGAGUGGUUGAGUAAUUUGCAGAGUUGUAAAGACAGUAUGUGUCACUAUAGGGAUCCAACCCUAAAUUUAGUCGGUGUCCCUUCCAUUACCAGACCCCACCUGGAGCAAUUAUGAAGCUUUCAUUUUCUAUCAUCAAUGCCCCAUCAUUGUGCUUCCCUCCCUCAUCCCUUUGUUCAUGUCACUCUGUACAGUAUCUCCACCAGCCCACGCUGCCUUUUGAAAUGCUGUUACUUCUUCAAGGUUCAGAGGAACUACCACUCUCCUCUUAUCAGUACUUUCUUCCCCUCAUUCCCUGUCCUUGGCUGUCAGAACUCAAAGGAGUCUGUGCAGCUUAGCAAGCAUUUGCUGAUGUUUGCAUAAGUAGGCCCUGUGUUGGGCACUCUGUGUGUGGGGGGCAGGGAAUGUGUGUUUGGGAGACUGUGUGGUGUGUGAGCAUAGCUGGAUGUGUGUAUGGUGUGUAAUUGGAUAGCCAUGAAUGUGGCUCUGUGUGUGGGAGGGGUGUGUGGUAUGUAUGUGUGUGACUGCAUGUGUGACUGCGUGAUGUGUAUGUGUGUUGUGAGAGUGGCUGAGUGUGUUGGUAUGUGAGUGUGGCUGUGUGUGGUGUGAGCCUAUGUGUGAGACUGUCUGUGUAUGCACUGCUGUGUGUGGUGUUUGAGUGGAAGUGGGUACUGACCAAUCAGAACAGACACAGCCUAGGCCCUCAGUGGGUCUUGGAGGACCCAGAUGUUAAGCCUUUAUUUGCUAGACUAUGGUGAGGUCUGGGGAAGGGAAGGAGUGUACACGUAAGAGGAUUCAAAGCUGGGCCUUUUAAACGAGUAGGAGAGCCUCAAGAAUUAGAGAUUCUGUUCUCUUCAUUUGAAAACAGGCAAAUAGGUGGAUACUUUUAAGGAAGGCUUUUCAGAAACGAUUAAACAUAAUGGGAAUUUCAGUUAACUUAACAGUUAGGCAGAAAAAUCGAACGCAUCCCCAAAUGGAAGCUCCUUUACUUGUAGGUGAAUUCGAGUCUAGACUGUGGUAUUAAGAAAAGUGACAUUGUGCAAAUCAUACAAAUAUCUUUUGGGGCUGGACGAAGCUGGGGCCUUCUUUUUGCUCUGGUGGGUAGCUUUAAAUAUCUGUGGAAGUUUGUCACUUGAAAGUAAGUAAAGGCAUUCUAUCCGAGUAUUCCAGUUAAUUGAGGUUAUUUCUGACGGAUGGUUCCAAAGGGAUGGUGUAUACCCACCCCUUCAACCAGGACGAAAGAUUCCCUGGGGUCUGGCCUGACCCAAGGAAUAAAGGUGUUGGCCAUUUGUGUUCAUUCUCAGGGUUCAGAGAUGGGCAGUGAGAAGGAGCAGAGCCCAGAACGGCACCUGCCUGAGGAAGGGGAACGGGGUAAUAAGCCAUGGAGAGUGGAUGACUCAGAGGGUUCUUGGAUCCCAGAUGGGGAGAAAGAGCAUGGGCAAGCAAGCCUGCCAGAGGGGCCACAAGGGCUCUAUCCAGAGAAGCCACCGCAGGACGUCACUGUCCCCGCUGGAGAGCCAGAGGACCUCUCUGCUCAUCCGAGGCACGAGGCUGAUGAGAAGCCCUUUAUAUGUGCCCAGUGUGGCAAAACCUUCAAUAAUACCUCCAACCUGAGAACACACCAGCGGAUCCACACAGGCGAGAAACCCUACAAGUGUUCUGAGUGUGGCAAGAGCUUCUCGAGAAGCUCCAACCGCAUCCGGCACGAGCGCAUCCACCUGGAGGAGAAGCACUAUAAGUGCCCCAACUGCGAGGAGAGCUUCCGGCGGCACUCGGACCUCACCACGCACCAGCAGGACCACCUGGGCAGGUGGCCCUUCCGCUGCGACAUCUGCGGCAAGAGCUUCAGCCAGAGCUCGGCGCUGGCCGUGCACUACCGGACCCACCUGGAGCCGGCGCCCUACAUCUGCUGCGAGUGCGGGAAGAGCUUCAGCAACAGCUCCAGCUUCGGCGUGCACCACCGCACCCACACGGGUGAGCGGCCCUAUGAGUGUGCCGAGUGCGGGCGGACCUUCAGCGACAUCUCCAACUUCGGGGCGCACCAGAGGACCCACAGGGGCGAGAAGCCCUACCGGUGCACGCUGUGCGGGAAGCACUUCUCCCGCAGCUCCAAUCUCAUCCGCCACCAGAAAACUCACCAGGGAGAGCAGGCUGGGAAAGAGUCCAGCUGAAGAGGGCGAGGAAGAGAGAGAGCAGAGCGUGGGACCCCAACCUAGUGCAGAAAGAUCUUUAGGAUCUCCUGCUGCCCCCUUGACCUCAAGCCCUUCCUCCCACUUUGGAGAAUGGUUUUCUGUUGCCUCUGAAGCCAGGAUCUCCAGGAAGUCCUGAGAAGGGACUCUGAGUAAAAAUCUUCACUUUUUUUCCAGGCCAAUUUCUUGUGGUAGAAAGUCAGAGGACCCCGUCUUGGCUUCGCCUCCUUGGGGUGAAAGAGAAAUAAGGUAGGCUUAGGACACGCUCAUAUCAUUUGGGCAACUGUCCCCUGGCCUUUGAGGAAGUACCUGUGAGGUGGGCAUCACUGUCUGGAGGUCCUCUGUAUAGUAUGUGGACCGCUUAGGGCACACUGCGGUGGUCCACUAGUUCCCACCUGCUGUGCCUCAGCUGGGCUGGGAGGAGCAGGGGAGAAAGGGGCCCCCUUGGCCCAGAGAAGAGGUCUGAGGUCCUACUUUCGGAAUGAAAGGGAAGCCCUCAAGGAGCCAUGAUCCAGGGACCCUCACACUCCCUCCUGUUUGUGACUUGUCACCCCCACCCCAACGUGCAUCUGUUUCCCCAGGGUUAGCAGUAAAAACCCUUUAAUGAAAAGGACCCGUGUACUUAUUUGGGGGCAUCGAAGAAGUGGGGAGGUGGUUGCACCACAGCCACUCUGGAAGGGAGUUGAAUUCCAAGAAAGAGUGGGUGGCUGCUCUGAAAAGCAAAAGGAAGCAGCUGACUCUGAGGUCUGUGAGGAGGAAGGGGAAAGGGAAGGAAGUAAUACUGAGCAUGCACUCUAUGCCCUGGAUUCUGCAGGUCACUUUCACAUUCUUUAUCUCAUUUAGUUGUCGAAGCAACCGCAAGGGAGUAAGAUGAGGCAAGUGAGGAAAGGUGAAGUCACUCGCUGUGAAGUCGCACAGCAGGUGGUAUUAUUGCCUUAGAAGAUCACAAUUUUACAACCAUCAUGUAAUGAAUAGAUUCAGAGCACAGUCUCCAGAUGCGCAGGCCCAGCGGCCAUGGCUCACAGGCCCAGCCGCUCCACGGCAUGCGGGAUCCUCCCAGACGGCAGGCACAAACCCGCGUCCCCUGCAUCGGCAGGCGGACUCUCAACCACUGCACCACCAGGGAAGCCCCCCAAAAUGGAAUUGUUUAACAGAGUUUAAUUGUUCUGCCUGAGUUACCCGAACAAUAAUAAAAGAUCUCCUUAAGCCUAAUCAUUAUUUUUAUAUAAAUAUAAUCAAUUUAUAAAUAGAAUAAUAUAUUUGUAAGUUGAACUUUUAAGUUUUAAAUAAAGCCAAGGUUUUGAGUUUGUAGAUGAAAAAAUUUAAUAUUAAUUUAGAACUUAAAAUGCUGUAGUCUUUUGUGCUCACAAAACCUGCCCUCAGACAUGAAAAAAAAAUCACAUCAACACUAUUAUUAUCUGCAUUUAACUGAUGAAGAAAUGGAAGCUCAGAAAGGUUAAGAAAACAGGAAUCAACUCCAUGCGUGUCUGGCUUUAAAGCCUGUGCUCUUAACCAGUGUGCAUGUGGUUUCCCUGAUGGAUCAACCUCCUGAAAAGUCAAAUGACUUUGGAAUAAUUAAGUAAACUAUUUUGAAGUGACUUAAGCAAUGUCUGCUCAUAUGCAUUAUAGGUUGACUUCACAGCUAAGCGGUCAAUUUCAGCUCAAGGAAAGAGACUUUACUGGCUCAUGUGACAGAAAAUUCUGGCUUCAGGCAGGGUUGCUACAGACUCAAACCCUGCUUCUCUCUGUCCAUCAGUCUGUGUUGAGUCCAUUCAGACACAGGCUUUCUUGUGGUGCAAGAUGACUGGUGCUAUUCCUCUGGGCUCAAGGACAGCUGGAAAAUGUGGCUGCCUCUCUCCCAGUGUUCCCACAAAGAAAUCAUUGCAUCUCACUGACUCUGAUUAGCUCAUGGGUCUAUUCUGGAACUAAUUACUGUGACCGAGAAAAUGUGAUGUUUUAAAUAGCCAUGCCUGGCGUCUCAGGUUGACCCCUAGAGUUGGAGGUGGCGUCAAAUCCACCACAAACACGUGGGCUGAGAGUAGGGAGGGAGCAGUCCUGGAGAAGGGUGAUUGGAUGACAGUCAGAAAAAACAGAUGUCCAUUACAGUGGGCAAACUUCUCUCUUACUUAAGUACCUCACUAUAUCAUUCACAUGUACUGCUGACAUAGUCUCUUCCUUUUGGCCAGGAAUCACGAUACAACACUAUAACUUAACUGUGUAUCCUUUAUUCUGCCCAUUAUUGCAUUUUGAGAGCAGGGAUAUCUGUCUUUCCUUUCAUCAGUGACCAAAAUAAAAGCUGUUCAGGCAUUUAUGUAAAUGAAUGAAACCCAGAUUACAGGAGCCUGGGUUUGUUACCUCAGAAGAGAAAUAAGGAAGAUGGGGAAGUGUUUUUAUGGUAUUGUGGGUAGUAGCUAUGUAGUAUAAGGAAGGUAAGUCAAAUUCACCAGACACUUAUUGAUAACUUCUUUGUGUUAGGCUGAUUCCUGUUGGGGACAGUGUUCCAGUGGCCUUCAAGGAGCAACCAGCCUAGAGGAAGAGACAGAUGGAAGGUGUUGGUUACUGUGAUUUGGUUUCGGCCCAGAUCCAUGUUAGAAUGGGCCACCAUAUAGCCCUUGGUAAUGGGUUGAGUCCUAGAGAGGGUUGGGGUUAUCAAGUGUAAUGUUGAUUGGGUUUAAGGUUUUUAGUUUCCAUUUAUUGAGCACCCCCGUCAAGUUACUUAUACCCAAGGCCUGGGGCCUGGGCAGUAGGCAGGUCAAAAGGCUCCCAGAGUAGGCCCAGGUCCUGGCUCAGGGUUAAAACCACCACUUCAGAGUGUGAAGAACCUAGCCACAAGAUACCCACAAAACCACAGACAUAUGGGGCAAAUUGAGACAAAGCAGAGACCAUGCUUCCAGACACCCAAAGGAAUGGAGCAUUGUCCCAGAGACAGCAUGUCUACAGACAUGGAAAGGGUACUGCUUAGUUCCAGAGCGGGGGUGUGCAGGGUGCCUGAGCUUGAGACUUUGUGAAAUAGAGUUGAUCACACUUUUUGCUUUGGCUGUUCAGAGGAAGGACAUCUUUAUCAAACUGCACCCAUUCUGAAAACCUGACUGUGGUCAUUCAGAAGCCAAGGCUUGCAUAGGAAGUGGGGGAAAACAGGAGUAGAGCUAGAGAAGGAGCCAUUCAGGCUCUAUGAGAGAACAGCUCAUUCCUUUUCCCUCCUACCUUCCUGGAGGGAGAGGCUAGUGAUAGAAGGCAGCCCACCAUGAUACUCAUUUCUCAGGGUAUGUGGGUCUGAGGUAAACAUGGAGAACUUCUUAAGGGUGAACAGGGAAUAGCCUGCCCUCCUGGUCAAAUGGUAACCCUGCUGCUGUUACAUAUGGGCCCAGGACGGCUGCCCAUCACUUAUCACUCAAGGCCUGCCAGACAGUUCCCUUGACCCAGAUGCCCCAGGUAGGGGAUGGAAGAGAACCUGAAUAGGGAGCUGGUACCCUGUCAGCACAACAGGAGCAGAGUUAGAAAACACAACCCCAAGGGAAGCCAGAGGAAUACUAAUCUGGACCCUCUAGAAAAGUUGUCUUCAAACUGGGUAUGCAUACCCCUGGGGGUUCACAAAAACUUUCCAAGAGGUAUGUGAGCAUAUUUAGCUUACAGGGAAUCAAUGUAAAGAUCCUCAGCUUCCAGGUAUACUCUUUACAAAAAUUAAUCUGACUAAGAGGAGUGAUGACAGCAAGAUGGUAAAAUAAGAAGCUCAGACUCUCUUCCCCAACAGAGACAUUGACGUAACAAUAAUAGACAGUCCAAAAAGCCUUUAUGAGAAUUCCAGAAACCAGUGAAGAAACUCACAGUACCCAGGCAAACUAAAAGCCAAGAACAGCUACACUGAAACAGAUAAGAGGAACCAUUUCAUUUCACUCACAAUAGCCCUUCUCCCAAGCUGGCACGGCUUGGAGCACUCAGGAGUAGAACAGAAAUCAUAGAGUGAGUGCUCUCAGACCACAGUGGAAUUAAACUAGAAAUCAGCAACAGAAAAAUGGCUAGAUAGUCCCAAAAUAUAUAGAAUUUAAAGUAUUAAAUAAACUUUAAAUAACACAAAACUUCUAAACAACACACAGGCCAAAGAAGAGAUAUCAAGAGAAAUUUUUAAAUGUUUUGAACUAAAUGAAAAACACAACUUAUCAAAAUUUGUGGGAUGUAGCAAAAGAAGUGCUUUGAUGGCACUGAAUAACAUAUAUUAGAAAAGAGGGAAACUCUAAAUUCAAUAAUCUAAGCUCUACCUUUGGAAGUUUAGAAAAAGAAGAGAAAACUAAAUCAAAAGUAAGCAGAAGAAAAGAAAUAAUAAAAAUUAGAGCAGAAAUCAAUGAAGUUGAAAACAGGAUAUCAAUACAGAAAAUGAUCAAAACCGAAAGCUGGUUCUUUGAAAAGAUGAAUAAAGUUGAUAAGCCUCUAGCUAGGCUAACUGAGAAAAAAGAGGACACAAAUUUCUAAUAUCAGAAGUGAAAAAGGGGGCAUCUGAUCCCAUGACCAUUAAAAGGAUAAUAAAGGAAUAUGAGCAACUCUAUGCCCACAAAUUUAAUAAUCUAGAUGAAAUGGGCCAAUUCCCUGAAAGAUAUAAACUAUCAAAACUCACAUAAGGGGCUUCCCUGGUGGCGCAGUGGUUGGGAGUCCGCCUGCCGAUGCAGGGGACGCGGGUUCGUGCCUGGUCCAGGAAGAUCCCACGUGCCGCAGAGCAACUACUAAGCCUGUGCUCUAGAGCCUGUGAGCCACAACUACUGAGCCCGCGUGCCACAACUAGUGAAGCCCACGCACCUAGAGCCCGUGCUCUGCAAUAAGAGAACCACUGCAAUGAGAAGGCUGCACACCACGACAAAGAGUAGCCUCCACUUGCUGCAACUAGAGAAAGUCUGUGCACAGCAACGAAGACCCAAUGCAGCCAGAAAUAAAUAAUAAUAAAUAAAUAAAUAUUUUAAAAAUCUUUAAAAAAUACUGUGUAUAUGUCAAUCCCAAUCUCCCAGUUUAUCCCUUCUCCCCUUUUCCCCCUGGUAGCCAUACACUUAUUUUCUAUGUCUGUGACUCUAUUUCCGUUUUGUAAAUAAGUUUAUUUGUACCAUUUUUUUAGAUUCCACAUAUAAGCAAUAUCAUAAGAUACUUGUCUUUCUCUGUCUGACUUACUUCACUCAGUACGACAGCCUCUAGGUCUAUCCAUGUUGCUGUAAAUGGCAUUUGAUUGCCGCUUCUGAUCACAGAGGUGCAAAGAGAAGGGCAGCUAUUGUUGUUGUAUCUUCCCCCACUGUCACAAGCCACUCCCCCUCUGGUUCAAGUGACUUCCAGGUGAUUUAAAGGACCAGCACCCUUUUCCUGCCCUUCAUUUUUCUUUUUCUCCUUUUGGAGCCCAGAUAUUAAAGACUAGGAGAUUCAAAAACAACUGCAUAUAUGGGGAAAAUUAGAAUGUGACUGUACAUACCCAGGGAAAGAUGCAGGUCCAGAAAAGACCUGAGGAGACCUUAAGUUUACAUCUCAGGCUGAUCUGUGGUGCAGAGAUAGCCUACAACAAUAAAACAAAACAAACAAACAAAUCCAUCAAGUCCUGGGGAUGGGAGAGAAUAUGAUUUCCAAAGUUACCACAUUAUUAGAUUCAAAUGUCCAGUUUUCAACAACAAUAAAAAACCACAAGGCAUACAAAGAAACAAGAUAUCAUGGCCCAUUCAAAAAAUAAAAUAAUUUUAAAAACCAACAAAAACUGUCUCUGAAAAAAGCCUGAUGGCGAAUCUACUAGAAAAGACUUAAAACACUUGUGUUAAAGAUGCUUAAAGAACUAAAGGGAGAUGUAGAGAAAGUCAAGAAAGUAAUCUAUGAGCAAAAUGGAAAUAUCAAUAAAGAGAUAGAAAACCUAAUAAGAAGCCAAAAAGAAAUUCUGGAGCCAGAAGUUAUAAUAACUGAAAUGAAAAAUUCACUAGAGAGAUUCAAAGUCACAUUUGAGCAGGCAGAAGAAAGAAUCAGUGAACUUGAAGAUAGGACAAUAGAAAUUGUUAAGUCUGAGGAACAGAAAGAAAAAAGAUUAAAGAAAAGUGAACAGAGGGCUUCCCUGGUGGCGCAGUGGUUGAGAGUCUGCCUGCCGAUGCAGGGGACACGGGUUCAUGCCCUGGUCCGGGAAGAUCCCACAUGCCGCGGAGCGGCUGGGCCUGUGAGCCAUGGCCACUGAGCCUGCACAUCCGGAGCCUGUGCUCUGCAACGGGAGAGGCCACAGCAGUGAGAGGCCCGCGUAACGCCAAAAAAAAGAAAGGUGAACAGAGCUUAAGGGAACUGUGGGACAACAUCAAGCAGACUGAUUGUAUGCAUUGCAGGAGACCCAGCAUGACGAGAGAGAGAAAGGGACAGAGAGAAAAUUUGAAGAAAACAAUGUUUGAAAACUUCCCAAAUUUGAUGAAAAAUAUGAAUAUAAACAUCUAACAAGCUCAAUGAACUCCAGGUAAGAUGAACUCAGAGACUCAUACUGAGAUAUAAAAGCAGCGGGAAAGAAGCAAAUCAUCACACAAAAGUGAGCCUCAAUAAGAUUUUUGGCAGAUUUCUCAUGAGAAACUUUGGAGGCCAGAAGGCAGUGGGCCAACAUAUUCAAAGUGUUCAAGGGAAAAAACUGUGAACCAGAAUCCUAUAUCUGGCAAAACUGGCCUUCAAAAGUGAGGGAGAAAUUAAGACAUUCCCCAAUAAACAAAAGCUGAAGAAAUCAAUCUCUAUACUUGAUCUGCAAGAAAUGCUCAAGGGAGUCCUGCAAUGUGAAAUACAAGGACAUUAAACAGUAACUUGGAGCCAUAUAGAGAAAUAGAAAUCUCAACGGAAGUAAAUACAUGGGCAGUUACAAAAGCUAGUAUUAUUGUAACAAUGGUUUGUAACUGCAUAUUUUGCUUUCAACAUGAUUUAAGAGACUAAUACAUUUAAAGAAAAAAAUCUAAUUAGUCUAAAAGCUAGUAGUCUUGUAACUGGUUUGAAACUCCAAAUUUCAUUUUUGACAUAAUUUAAGAGACUAAUAAAUUUAAAAGAAUUAUUAGUUUAUGUUUUGGGGCACACAGUGUAUAAAGAUGUAAUUCUGUGGCAUCAACAACCAAAAGGGGUGGGGAUGGAGAUGGAAAGGAGCAGAGUUUUUGCAUCUUAUUGAAGUUAAGUUAUUAUAAAUUAAAAUUAGAAUGUUAUAAGUUAAGGAUGUUCAAUGUAGUUCCCAUGAUAAUCACAAAGAAAAGAACUACAGAAUAUAAACAAAAGAAAAUGAGAAAGGAAUGCAAAUGUUUUGCUACAAAUAAAUCAACUAAACACAAAAGAAGACAGUAACACAGAAAAUGAGGAACAAAAAGCUGUGGAGCAUAUAGAAAACAAGUAGCAAAAUGACAGAAGUAAGUCCUUCCUUAUCAGGAAUUACUUUAAAUGUAAAUGGAUUAAGUUCUCUAAUCAAAAGACAGAGACUGGCAGAAUGGAUAGAAAACACAUAAUCCAACUAUAUGCUGCCUACAAAAGACUCACUUUAUUUUAUUUAGUUUUUAUUUUUUUUAACUUUUUAUUUUAUAUUGGAGUAUACAUAUACAUGUAUCCAUUCUCCCCCAAACUCCCCUCCCAUCCAGGCUGCCACAUAACAUUGAGCAGAGUUCCCUGUACUAUACAGUAAGGUCCUUGUUGGUUAUCCAUUUUAAAUAUAGCAGUGUAUACAUGUUCAUCCCAGACUCCCUAACUAUCCCUCCCCCCACUUUCCCCUUUGGUAACCAUAAGUUUGUUUUCUAUGUCUGUGAGUCUGUUUCUAUUUUGUAAGUAAGUUCAUUUGUAUCAUUUCUUUUUAGAUUCUGCAUAUAAGGGAUGUCACACAAUAUUUCUCUUUCUCUGUUUGACUUACUUCACUCAGUAUGACAAUCUCUAGGUCCAUCCAUGUUGUUGCAAAUGGCAUUAUUUCAUUCUUUUUAAUGACUGAGUAAUAUUCCGUUAUACAUAUGUACCACAUCUUCUUUAUCCAUUCCUCUGAAAAGACUCACUUUAGAUCCAAAGACACAAAUACAGUAGAUUGAAAGUGAAAGGAUGGAAAAAGAUAUUCCAUGGAAAUAGUAAGCAAAAGAGAGCAAAAAGACAAAAUAGACUUUAUAUCAAAAAAGGUUACAGAUUACUAGGGGUAUUAGCAGAGGUAAGGGUGUAAGAAAAAGCAGGCCAGAGAGUACAGAGUUUUAAAUGGCAGGCUAGGUAUUCUUUCUGCAGUGUGCAGUCAUCAAGGCCAUCCAGCAGGGAGGAGCCAUAAUCCUAGACCUGAGUGUGAAGGAUGAAAUGAGAAGAGUGUGGAGGAAGUCAACUUGGUUGAGAAGUUAUUUCAGUUUACUCAGAGAACAAUAUACCUUUUUCCAUAAAUGUCCUGAUAUAAAAUACCCCUAAUAGGGCCUGCCUCUGAAAAUAUGUCUCAAAGAGUUAGACAUGAUUUUUGAAAGUAUAAAAUGAAAGGCUAAAGCUUGGCCCAAGCUCCAGCACCUAUUGCCCCAAAAUAAAAGAACAAACAAAUGUACAGAUUUUGACCAAGUUGCUUUUGUUCUAAUUGGUUUUUAAGAGAGCCAGCAUAGGUUGGCUGUAUAAUAAUACAAUAAUAAUAAAACACAACAUUGUAAAUCAACUACACUUCAAUUAAAAAAAGAAUUAAAGGGCUUCCCUGGUGGCGCAGUGGUUGAGAGUCUGCCUGCUGAUGCAGGGGACACGGGUUCGUGCCCCGGUCUGGGAGGAUCCCACAUGCCGCGGAGCGGCUGGGCCCGUGAGCCAUGGCCGCUGAGCCUGUGCGUCCGGAGCCUGUGCUCCGCAACAGGAGAGGCCACAACAGUGAGAGGCCCGCGUACCGCAAAAAAAAAAAAGAAUUAAAAACAAAUAAACAAACAAAAUGAUUAUAGUAACCAUUGAAUGAGCACUUGCUAUGAGCCACGUACUGUAAGUCUUUCCUCAUUCAAUACUCACAAACCUGUGAUGUAGAUUCACUUAUUAUCAUCAUUUCAUAGAUAAAGAAACUGAGUCUAAGAGAGGUCAGAGUCAAUAUGCAGCAUUACUUAGAUUAAAAUGCUGUGCUUUCUAUUUCAAAAUCAUGUCUUUACCCAUUGCACUUCAUGUGCUUAAGCAGCUGUGCUUGGCAGACAGCGUAUAGCAUUGCCCCUAGGGAUGAUGAUGUGACAAGAAAAGAACUGCUUGACUUCUUUGUGUCUUGAUUUGUUCAGCAAUAAGUGGAAAUAAUAACUGCCUUUUUAUCAGGCAGAGUAACGGGAGAUAAGACUGUUUUUCUCUCUUGGUUUGAUUGCAAAAGAGGCCAUGUCCCCCCAUAGGUGUGAAUGGAAAUAAGAGGCCACUUACAGAGUGUGGUUUGUGUUGGUGGCCCAAGUGCAGCUGCCUCAUCUAUACAAUGGGUAUAAUAAUAAUAGUGUCCACCUCCUAGGAUGUUUGUAAGGAUCCAAUGUAUUCAUACAUGUCACAGAUUUAGGACAGUGCUUGACAAAUAGCACUCGCUAUCUAAAUACUAGCCAUUACUGGUAUUAAAGAUAGAAACUUGGCUACCAGGGAUCACUGUGGCCAUAAAUAUAUGUAACCUCCAAGCAGAGAUAGGGAGAAGCCUCACUCACCCUGGCUUUUUCUCAGUAGGCAUUUAGUUAGGAAGAUUAGCUAGCUAUAAUCUUGGCCAAUAGUAAGCAGAGCGCAAAGAAAAUGACACGGAUGGAGAAAUAACGUUAUCAGAAAAUAAAAAUAGCUCCUAAUUUUUACCAUUUCUACAAUCAAGCACCACAUUAAGAGUAUACCAACUUGGUCUUGCCUAAUCCUCACAGUUCUGUGGGGUAGGUGUUAUUAACUGUGUCCUCUGUCAGCCUCCACUCCCACCUCUGUAAAAAGACAAUAGAAGGUGAUGGGAGAGGUGGGGGGAGGGUGGUCCUGCUGGGCUCCUGGCCGAGCAGCUUCUCUUGGCUCUCUCCGAGGCAGGAAGCGCCUCUUCCACAGGACAUCAGUGUAAGCCUGAAUAACAAAAAGAAUUUCUCCCUCCCAAGCCAUGGCACAUCAGUUGCACAGAAAUACCACUUUGGGAAACAGUCUUCAGGAGAGCCUCGAUGAGCUCAUACAAUCUCAACAGAUUACCCCCCAACUUGCCCUUCAAGCUUUACUUCAGUUUGAUAAGGCUGUAUAUUCAGUGUUGGUACAGAAGGUCAGGAACAGAGUCAAUUCCAGGCCUAUGUAUGUUUGGCUACCUUCCCUAAAGAGUUACUGAGAUUUCAAACGUCUGAAACAUUAUCUGCAGGAUUGAAGGGCUCUCUAAAUACCUACAGAUUCUGCGAUAAUGUAUGGACUUUUGUAUUGAAUGAUGUUGAAUUCAGAGAGGUGACAGAACUUGAUAAAGUGAAAAUUGUAGCCUGUGAGUGGGACCUCUCUGGUGGACAAGUGGCUAAGACUCUGUGCUCCCAAUGCAGGGGGUCCGGGUUCGAUCCCUGGUCAGGGAACUAGAUCCCACAUGCCGCAACUAAGAGUUGUGCAUGCCGCAACUAAAGUUUCCUCAUGCGGCAACCAAAAUAGAUCCCGCAGGCUGCAACUAAGGGUCCUGCAUGCCACAACAAAGAUCCUGCACGCAGCAAUGAAGAUCCCAUGUGCUGCAACUAAGACCUGGCGCAGCCAAAUAAAUAAAUAAAUAACUUGUAAAAGUGUAGCCUGCGAUGGUAAAAAUUCUGGCUCCAGUACUACAGAAUGAAUAGAAAAAAACUGGCUUUUUAAUGCCAUCCUGUUAUUGUUCAUCUCUUUUCGAAGAGAAGCAUAGGAGACUUUUUAAAAAAUUUAUUCUAGCAUUGCAGAAAUGACUACACUGUGCCAUACUAUCAGAGAAUUCCAGUAGAAAGAAGCUUAUAACUCUGUACCCUCUUACAUUACAUUUAUUAUACAUCAUGAAGAAACAUAACUUUCUUUUUAAUGACACAUCAAACACUGUUGCCUUCCUAAGACUAUUCUUUAAUAAAUUCAUUUUAAAACAAACAAACAAAAAGUGAUGGGUAUUCUUGCCUGGGCAAUAUGACCCCAGAGCCCACACUUCUAACCUCUACCCUCAGCUUCUUUGAGGGUUUACCACUGGGAACCAGACGUCAAGGUGGGGGGUCAACAGGCUGGGGUGGAGGUGGGGGAACUAAGACACGCCAUAAUUACACCACAGUCUGCAGUAGGGUUUAAGGAAAUAAAUUAUAGGCCCCCAGUACUUUGAGUUUCCUCGUUUAAAAUCAGAUUUUAAACCCUAGGUCACGAGUAUCAAUGGUACUUUCUGAGAAACUCUGAUUGAAGCCUGUUGACACAAGUGCUUUUGAAAGUUCAAAACACCAAUAGAUCUUGUACCCUCUGCUUAGAAAGAAAGGAGGGAGGACAGAGAAUAUCUACUUCCCAGGUUUUAUAAAGUUUAGGUUAAAUUUAUACUUAUUCUUGUUUUUUUGGGUUUUUUUUUUUUUGCUUUUUAAUUGCUGUAUUAACUUCACAUUUUCCAUGCAAAUGGGUGAAACUCUCAAUCUGAGUUUGUUGACAGAAACUCAGAUUGGGUGCCAAGGCAAUCUCCAAUUAGAAGCUGGUAACACAGAACCCACCUGACAUGGAAAUUACGUAAGGUUCACAGCAAAUGGAUCAGAAAAGGUGUAUCAGGAAAAUGCAAGAAAAAAGAGAACAACAGUGGGAAUCACAGUACUAAUCUCAUGGAAAAUGGCAGGAGUCAAUGCAUAAGGCAAAAUUCAUCAUGAUGGUCAUGGUGAUUAGAGAGCUCCCCCAUAAAGAUAUGUAGACAAUUCCUCAACUGCAGCUCCCUAAGUUUUCUCCUGAUUUCGCUCAUCUCUUCAUGAACAUUUCCAUGUAAUCUCCAUCUCCACCCAUCCCAUCUUUGACCUGCCUAUUGGGUAUGGCCCAUCAGAAAUUAGGGGCAAGUUGGCGAGCCUGUCCCCGUCUAUUAUUUCCUGCCGGCUGGUGGCCUUCGCCCCCUCCCAAAAGGCGGUUUUCCUUUCCUUUUUGCACAGGCUGCUCCAUUUCUUCGUUUCCCUGGGCCUUCCUUGCUGUCUCCUGCUCCCGAUUCCCGCCACAAGUGCGCCGCCCUGAAACUUAGUACUUAUUCUUUAUACUUAUUUCUAUCUUGCAGAGCAGUAGAAAUUUCCAAGACUCGUUACUGGGAAAGGCAAUGAAAUUUCUGUAAGAGUCAGAGGAAAGAGCUUGCACUGGGAACCCUGCACCAGGUGGUUUAGGAGAUGCCGACCAUCAGAGCCAGAGAUGACCUUGAGAAGGGAAGAGAUCCCUGGGAAUUCACAGAAACCUGGGGGGAUGAAGUGUCUCUUCCCACCCCACAUGGCAACGCCCCCAUGCUGCCCGGGCACCCCAUACCUCUGCACCUUCGCUUUGCUGCUGCUUCGCCUUCUGCCUGGUGAGCUGUUGGUCACUUUCUAGAGAACGCGCCAUCCCUCCUCUGGAGAGCCUUCAUAACCUCUUCAUUACUGCAGUGGUUCCCAAACAGGGGCAAUUUGCUCCCCCCCCCGCAACGUCUGGAGACAUUUUUGGUUGUUACACUGGCAGGGGUAGAGGCCAGGGAUGCUGCUAAACGUCCUACAGUGCAUGGGACGGCCUCCGUAAUGCCAAAGAACUAUCUGGCCACAAAUGUCUAUGGUGUUGAGAAAAACCCUCCUCUAUGGGCCAGGUACCCUCUCCCUCCCCCUUGUCCGCUUACACCAGCCUGUCCUUGUUUCCAUCACCGCCCCGGACAGCUAACUAUGAGGCACUGUGUGCUCCCUCUAGACUAAACUCCAACAGGGGGACAGUCUGGUUCAUCUGGGUCCCAGCACAGGGCUGGAGGCAGAAAGCAUUGUCACUAAUUGAUGAACAGGCCAUGAACCGGAGAGGCUUAAGAGAUGACGGAGCUGUGGCAGGGUGUCGUGGUGUAAGAGGCUGUGCAACUGUGCGUGGGAAACUGGGACGUCUGUGCGUGACUCAGCUUGAAGUAAGAGCAGGAGAGAGCAGCAGGGUAGCAGUUGUUGGCAUGUAAAAGGGUGUUUCGGUGCCUGUAAGUGUAACUGCCAUUUCUUCUGUGGUGGUCAAGGAUGUAGAGUGGAGCCAGACUCCCUGGAUUUAAAUCCCAGCUCUGCCACUUACUAGCUGUGUGUCCUUGGUUUAAUUGCUUAACAUCUCUGUGCCCUAGUUUUUUAUAAAACAGGGAUUAUGGUGUCUCCCUAAUGGGGUUAUAUUAUAUGGAACAAUUGAAUUAUUGUUUCUAAUGCAUUUGGAACAAUGCCUGGCACGUGACAAGUGAGCUGUAAGCUGUGAGAGUCCGUAUAAGCGGAGAUGGGCGAAGGGGAGAGGGGGCCCAGAGCCCUUUGGAUCUAGGCAGAGAUAAGGAGAGGCUGCCUGGAGCCUGGGCUGGGAAGCCCAUCUUGCCUCCAGUACUUUCACUCACCAAGCAGGUCGUCCUGGGCAGACCUCGCCUGCUCUCUAGACCAAGUUCUUCCUUUGGCAAACAAGGAACGUUGAGCCUGCGGACUGUCAGGCCCCUUCCAGCCCAAGCGGUCUGGUUUCUGAGGAUGCCUCAGACAUGCCUGACACUGUCCCUUGGCCAGGAACUCAUGGUUCCUCAAUGGCCUUUAGUCACCUCUGUUGGCAGCUCAGCCGUUUGGGGAGGGGAGAGGUAGUUCUCUCCACUCAGUAUGAUGGUCAGGAUGCCCUUGCUCAUUUAUCUGCUCUCUGUGUGACUGGGCUCCCCUCCUACCCUGCAGAGGCCGGAGGCCUGGCAGGGAUGUCGUCAUCAGGUGUGAGGCCUGGCGUCCAUCUGUAACUCAGCCUCUCCCUCUCCAGGUGACCUCUCCCAGCCUCGGUGCCUCCUUUAUGAGGGGAAGAUAAGCCUGGCCCCACCCACCUUGUGGGGCUGCUGUGAGGAGGCAACUUAUUAGGAGGUGCUUUGUAAACAUUUAAGAUGAUGUUAUGAUUAAUUAACCACUUCCAAGAGGAAGCCCUUUGGGGCCUGUUUUAUGGAGGAGACCAAGCUUCCGGUAAUUAACAGCAGUACUGGCACCCUCACCUCUAGUGGGACAAAGUCUCCAUUGGCAAGUAGGCCAACCUGGCCAGCGCAGUGCAGUUUCCUAAGGCAAGUGCCUCUAGACAGACAAGGUGGGUCGGCCUGGUCAGCGCGGGCCGUUAGCAAUUCCCCAUCAGUGGAACACUUCAUGCCACCGCAUCUCUGCACAAGCCGUUCCUAUUGCCUGGGAUACCCGCCCCUCCUUCCCUCUGGGGCCGAUUUGCCCUCAAGGUCUAGCACAGCUGCUAACUCCUUCGUGAGGCCCCUUCUGUCUCUGCCAUCAGCCCUACCCCCGGCAUUAGUCAUUCCUUUCUCUUCGUUCCCAUAGCACCGAGAAGCCCUCCGUUAAUAAUACUGCGGCUCUUCCCAAGGGGUCUCCCCUCCCCACCCCGCCUCUGCACUCUGGAUGGUUGAAUCUCUGGAGGGCAGGGACAGGGCCCAGCUCUGACCAUGUGUCAGGCAGCUCCCUGAGGGCCAGGGUGAGCCUGCGGUGUUCUCGGCUCUAUCCCUCCCCCCAUCUAGGGCAGUGCCUGGCAUAGUCCACGUUGAGUGACGGUGUUGGCACAAUCACUGGGCCCUCCCAGGACAAUGGCUAUGGUGCCUCCCGAGGCAUGGCUGUCGGCUCUGAGCCCCGCUUUCAUCUCUUCCUCUAGUGUUGUCCUCUCCCUUCUUCACCUGUUAAGUUUAUCCUGUUUGCUCUGGGUUGGGAAAACUACGGCCAGGCUUAUGAGAAGUGUCUGUAAAGUACAAGAGUAAACAGGCGGAGGAGUGCCUGAGCACACGCCCCCAGAAACGCCACGCAGGUCUCUCACCUCAGUCCUCAGAGGCCGGCUGCCCAAGUGACCUUUGGACAGGUGCCCGCAAAUGCUCCUAUAAAUGUUUACCACUGGGCCGUCUGUGCUGCCCGGAUCCCCUGCCCGCUGCCCCGCCCAUCUUCCACUGUAAUUCUCACCUUUCGCCUGUUUCUGAUUAGAUGGGAAGUCCCAAGAAUUAGAGAACAUCACUCUGGGUUUGUCCACAACUGCACCCUUGGAAGUGUCUUAGUCCCUUCUGGCCAAAUGCGAUCCCUUUGCCUCUGCUCCACCACCACCGGUGUCCUGAAGGACCCCCCCCCCCUUAUCUUCACCCUCUCCUCCUCUGCUGAUUCCUUACAAGCUGUUUAAAACUGAAGUCUUCGUAUUAAAAAAACCUUAGCCAGACAACCCCUCUGGCGACCACCCUUCUUUCUUCCUUCUCUACCGAGUCCCUUGGAAGGGCUGUCUCUGCUCUCCCCCAUCUCCCUUCUCCCUGUUCAACCCACUGCAGGGAGGUCUCUACCCACAGGACUCCACUUGGACAGCCUUUGCCACAGCAGGGUCACCGGAGGGUCUUUUGCCUUUGGCAAUAUGGAGCUGAUCUGCCCAGGUCAGCCUCCGGAGCACCAGAUAGCAUCCCUUCACUCCGUCCACAUCUGAGUGCCUGUUCCUAUGGACGGGCACUGCUCUAGGGACGAAGGACAUGGCCAUGGACGCUCAUCCUCAGGCGCUUCCAUUCUUCCUCUGGCUCAGAAGGGUCUUGUCUCCUGGCGUAGAGGUGCCAGCUCUCCUCCUCCUUCCCAGGAUCUUCUGUCAGUGGGUGUGCUCUCCAGGGCUUGACACUUACUUCUCUUUUUACUCUGCAGUCCCUCUGGGAGAUCCUUCUCUAUCACUAUGGAUACUGGUGACCAACCUAUCGGUCUUCUCCCACUGACUACCCUCCAAAGAAACAGACCCCCGUGUCCAAGUGCUUGUCCCGCCGUGUCACCAAACCUCAGUUCCUGAAUAUCCCACAGCACCUCCCUGCUCUGCCUCCAGACCCACAUCGCCCGAACCAGAAAUCUAGAAGCCAGUUUUAAACCCCACUCUCUCAUCCUCAGGCUGAAUCGAUGAUCAGCUCCUGCCCAUUCUUCCUAUUCAGUGUUGGUUUUUCUACACCUAUUACAGCAGCAGCCUUCUCACUAUUUCCCUGUCUCUAGUUUCACAUUCUGAGACCCAUCCCACUGCACCAGACGCCUGAAUCAUUUCCCUAAAAUGCAAAUCUGAUCCUAUCUGUCCUCUUUAGUGGAGUUCUGAAGUCCACACUCUCCAGCUCGGCCUACGCAUUGGUGCCCACCUGCCCAUUCUUGCUGUGCCACGCCCUGCCAGUGGCUGAAGAUUCUGCAGAUGAAACUACCGACCACAAGAGCCCCUUGUGGGCAGCUUCUGGCUUACCGCGUCGCCCUCCCAUCCUUCUCCCUCCUCCCAUUUACCCUAGUGACACACAGACUUUCUUUCCUCUGGGCAUUUUAUCCCCACCUGUGGGCCCCUGCUUACCACAACCCUGUUCUGUUUCCGGAAAACACCUCUAUCCUGUUCUUAGAGUCCUAGUUCUGUCACCAUGCGUAACUCACUAUGUGAUCACAGUCACGUGACCACCCCUGACUGUGAUCACUUAAUCCAGUGCUUCUCAUCUUUUGACGCACGUUAGAAUCAACUGGGGAGCUUUAAAACUUUGAUGCCCAGACAGCAUCCCAGACCAAUGAGGUCAGAUUCUGUAAGUGUCAGGGGACACUGUGUGUCCCCUGUCUCUAAGACUGUACACACUUUGCAUCUGCAAGGAUUCCCAAAGGGAGCCAGCUCCGAGGCACACACCUUGGCAAGAUCUGCUCAGAGCACUUAGCAGAAGCAGGGCUUGGAACUGCUUCAAGCAUGGGCCCACGGUCGCCAUUUCCCACAAGCUUGGAAAAGCCCCAUCACGUCCGCUGCAGCUGAGCAUGACUCAGCAGGCCUGGCCGCUCUGGUGACCUGCUCCCCAGCAUCGGGUGUGGCCCCCACGGCCACCCUCCGCCUAUUUGGAGGAGGCCCAGCUCCCCCAAACAGGCCCCAAUCCUCGGGAAGCAGCCACACUCACUUCCUGGCCUCACCCGUCUGGACCGUGAAUGUGGCCUUGACAGGACAAUCCACUCUCAUCUUGUCCUGCCCGGGAAGGUAGAGACUUUUAAACUGACCAGGUGGCUGGUCCGGAAGACAGCCUGAGGUUGUGUAAACAACAGAGUUUGGCUUCUGACUCCACCAUCCCCUAGCUAUGUGACCUUGAGCCCAUUGGUCAUUUGACCUGCCCUGGGCCUCGGUUUUCGGGUGUAUAAAAUGGAAAUCACCGCCCGACCUUAUGAAUGUACACAACAGGCCUGGCGCAGAGGAGGGGCUCGUUACAGUCUCCUUUCCUGCCCCCAUCCUCCGCUCUCCUCCCCAGAGCGGUGGGUUGGCUACGCUGGAGGCCCUCACCGGGGCACCCCCCAGUCCCGACACUGGUGAGCACGUGAGGACAGAUCUGGGUUGUGCUGUGGGGAGAAGGGAAUAAGCGCACACUUGCACCCCUCCAGUUCCCUAGGGCAAGACGCCAUUUUUGCUUUGCCUGGCCCAGGGCCUCCAGGGAGAUAGGCAGUUUCAGCCUAGAAUGGGCUCCCUUACAAGGGAGUGUGCUGCAUGUGGAUGGGUGAGAGCACGGGCUUGGGGACCACCUGGCAGGGAGGGCGCCAAGGCAGACUGGUGUCGUAUACCAGCUCCAUCCCUGACUAGCUGGUCAUGCUGGGCAGGUUCUGGCCAUUCCCCACACCUGCAGGGUAGGAGUGGGCACGGCUGCCUGCCUGCCUUAGGGCUCGGUGUGAUCAGGUGAGAAAAGCACCACGGAAGCCCUCUGUAGCCCCAGAGGGCCGCACGAAUGCAGCAUCACUACACCGAACACGGCUUCAAUUUUUACAAAUUUCUGUGUCGGGUAGGAGGUUGGUCAAGAUGACCUAUAAAGGGCUUCCCUGGUGGUGCAGUGGUUGAGAGUCCACCUUCCAAUGCAGGGGACAUGGGUUCGUGCCCCAGUCCGGGAAGAUCCCACAUGCCGUGGAGCGGCUGGGCCCGUGAGCCAUGGCCGCUGAGCCUGCGCGUCCAGAGCCUGUGCUCCGCAACGGGAGAGGCCACAACAGUGAGAGGCCUGCGUACCACAAAAAAAAAAAAAAAAAAAAGGUAACCUAUAAAGACCCCGUGGUUCUGUGGGCCCCAAGAUUCCAAGGCCAAAGCUAAGAGUCUCUAACCCAUUCAGGGCCAGAAUAUUGGCUGGUAAGGCAGAUGGUGAGUUGAUGUAAAUGACUCCAAUGUCCAAGAGGCAGGGUGAGCACGUGUGUGUGUGUGUGUGUGUGUGUGUGUGUGUGUGUGUGUGUGUGUGUGUGUGUGAUGGGGGCAGGGGUGCACAGCAGAGCCCUCUGGUCUCGAGAAGCCUAGGACAGCACAGCACUCACCUUCUGGGGGGCAUUGAUGACUCCAGUGUUGUAGCCAAACUGCAGGGAGCCGAGCACUGCCCCUCCCACGGCCAGCAUGAGGCGGCCCGUCAGCUUCUGCAGAGAGAAAAGCCCACACUGUUGGAGGCACGCCAGGCCCAGGUGACUAGAGGGCAGGGCCUGGGCUGGCAGGUUCCCUUGUUCAGAUAGCUUGCCUGACUCCUGGCACCACACCAGCCCUUCUCUGAAGAAACCUGGCCACUUCCUGACCUCAGGUGCCCAAACCAGCCCUGCCAACUUCUAGACACCGCACUGGCCAGACUCAUUCCUGGGGAGAGAGGGUAAUUAGGGUCUUCCCCCUCUCUGUAGCCAGGGCUUGGCCUUCUCCGGGGUCUCAUUCCCCUGUUGAAGCCAUGCCUGGGCUUGAGGUGGCUCCAGCCUCUCUGGCUGGGAGGCCCAGGAACCAAGGCAAGGGGGGCCCAGUUACGUGGGAGGAGCGGCAUGGAUGGGCGAAGUGCCCUGGAUUUGGAGCCCAAGAUGCUGGCUUCUAAUUCCAGCCCACCUGCCUCCUUGCUCUGCGAAUUCCAGCAGGUGAGUCCCCUUCCCCACUCUUCCCGGCCCGUCUGGUUGCUUGUCUGCAAACCCUCGCCUCCAUUCACAGGGUAGAUACUGAGGCAGAGACAAGUUCCAGCUUACUCAGGGGUCUGCAGAGAGCCAGGCUGAAGCUCGGGGCAACCAUCCCCAGACCACGAGCUUCCCAGGGUCGUUAGGACACAGAUGACAUACCAGCCAGGAAUGUGCUUUGGAAAAGUACACGACACAAGGUGAGUAAGAGUGCUGGGUCGAGGUGUUUCCAAUGGGCAGAGGGCUGGGGGAGAAAAAGGGCAGUGGGAUUCUGUCACCUGGAAGCCAAGGGCCGGAGGCAGCAGGCAGGGAGGAGGCCAGCAGGCAGGAGGGCCCGGGGAGAGCAAGGUGCCUUGCUAGGGAGAGGACUUUUGUUUUCUUUUAAAAUGAAGAAGCCAAGAUGUAUGACAGUUAAGGCAGGCCCUUAACUGACCGAAAGAACGGGGCCCGGGGGGAGGGAUGCCAAAGAAAUGAUGGGCGGGCAUUCACCAGGUGCACCACACGGGGCUGGGCACUGGAGGGGAGGGGUGGAGGCACAGAUCCUGAGCCGCACCUACCUGUGGAGGGGAGAGCCUCAGCUUGGCGAUGGCCUUGGUCUCCCCCCCUCCCCCCAGAACCCAGAAGCAGCCCUGACUUCGAGAUCCUCACAGAUAGCGCUGGGCUUAGCUGUUAAUCAGACACAUUCCUAGUAUGGUCUUUUCAUUCUCUAGAAGCCGUCAGGCCAUCGAUUGCGAAAGCUAAGGUUCUCACGUCAGAGGCUGAGAGUAAGGUUUCAGCCAGCAGGAGUUCAGAGCCCAUUCCUUGUCAAGGGAGAGCUGGAUCCUUCCUUCCCACGGGCUCCUUCCUGGCCAGACUCUGGACAUUCAUCCUAGACGCUGGGCCUUUCCUCCCAGCGGGCUGCACUCCCUGUAAAUCCUGUCUGUCACGGCCCACCCUGCCCAGCACCCCUCAGAGCCUCCCUCCCAACUCCUUAGGGAGCCUUCAGACCCAAGGCUGUUGGUUCCGAGUGGGUGGUGAGCACCUGACAGGCCUCCUCUGGUGGGCCCCGGCCAAGCCCAACUCCUCGGGUGACCACUGGGAUUAAGUAAGAGGAGGUCACAAGGACGGCACGACAGCGGCUGUUGAACCCCCACGUGGGGGCUUUCUGCCUGGUGAGUCACAGGUGUCACGGCUCAGGGUUGGCCUUGAGGUUGGCCAUCGUCUGAUACUAAUGGUAUACAAGGUAUAUAUUAUUCUAGUACACACUCGAAUAAAUAGAAAACUAGCAACGCAAACCUAGGAUUUGAAAAAAUGUGGCAUAGCUAUAUAAUGGAGUACUUAACAAAGAAAGCUCUUUAGGUACUGAUUUGGCAUACUCCCCAAGUUAUAUUAAGUAAAAAGCAAAGCUUCAGAACAGCGUGUUGUAUGCUACCUUUUGUGUGGGAGGGAAAAAAAAAAAAGGCUAGGAUGGGGGAGAAUAUACACAUCUACUUCCUUAAAAGAAUGCACAAGAAAGGUAACAGUGUACCUUGGGGAUCUGGGUGGCAGAGCCAGGGUAGAAGGGAGAAUUUUCAUUUUAUAUCCCUUUGUACGUUUUUGAAUUUUGAACCACAUGAAUGUAUCACCUAUUCAAAAUAUUUUUUACAAGCCCUGUGGUUUCAUAUUAUUUAGAACACAGCAAUUUAAAUAAAAAUAGAAGUGAAAAAUGAUACAGAUGAUAUGCGGCUCUGGUAAAAAUCGUGCCCUUGCAUGAAUGCCCUCGCAGAAGGGGCUCUGCUGGGGGGCAGUACUGUUACUACAGCCCUGUCUCCAGUCUGGCUCUGGUGUGCCAGGGGUCUCUGGGCCUCUGAAGUCAGUCUUGGGGCCCUGCUGAGCAGCUGUGCCUCUGAGAGUGGGGGCUGCUGGGAGCCAAGGACAAAGCCCUCUGCUGGACUUUGCCACUUGGCAGGUCAAGGUCAAACUCUGCUUUAGAAAACCUGCCUACCCACCGGCUGGGUUACAUCCACAUCCACCCAGGCAGGCUGCUGUGUCAAGAACUACUAAAAGGCUCAGUGACUCGCGCCCCGGGCCCUGGUCCUGACAUCAAGGAAGAGGCAUCAGGUCCACUGGGAAGGGGAGGCUAGUGUGGUCUGAGCUUCAGCUGGGGCACUGCGGGAGCCCUGCAGGGAUAGACUUGUAAUUUUGCCUGGGACAGUCAAUCAAAGGUGGGUUCCUGGGAGGUGACACUGGAGUCGGGCUGUGAAGGACAUGCAGGGAGUCUGCCAAGUGGAGAAGCGGUGGCAAGACUGCAUUCCAGGUAGACAGAACAGUACGUGCAGGGGGAAGAAGGGGGGGCCCUGCAAGGCUGGAUCUAACGGGGUGCUCAGUGUGGCUGGAUGCUAGAUCCAGGGGAGGAGCAUGGCCCCCGCUCCUGGGUAGGCAAGCGGCACCCACCACCUCUCGCCCCCACCGCACCCAGCGUGCUCACGACAGGACUUGGAAUCUGGAGACCCAGGCUGAAAGGCAUCGAGCUGCUUCCCUCACCUUGGAGUUGAGAUAUGUGGUAGCCCUGACUCUGGGUCUCAGUUUCUUCACAUAAGAAAUGGGGAUAAGAGUGCCUUCCCUUAAGGCUUGCUGUCAAGCUCUGCAUCAUGGAGCCGGCAGGGUUCACUCGACAGGUGUUCGCUGAAUCAAGGAGGGAUGGGAAGUCCCCAUGGUACCAUCUGCCUCCACCAGUCCCGUGGCUGGAACUGAAAGGCGGUAAUGAAGUCCAUUCAUUUAACAUGUAUAUAUUUACGUGCCAAGCUGAUGGACUCGUUGGUGAUGCCUUAAAGAAGGGGUACAAGCCCCACAGCUCACAGCUUUCUUGUGGAAGCCUUUUAUAGGGGUGGAGGAGCAAGGGAGAGUCUAGAAUCUGGGACCACGGCCGCCCAUCACCACCCCUGGGGAUGGGGCUACCUCCUAGAACAUCCCAUGCUGUUCCAGGCCUUUGCCCUUGCUGUGUGCUCUACAGUCUCCAGCUUCUGCUCCAAGCAGUUGGGAAUACCCAUCUGCUGUCCACCCACCACACCGGGAACUCCUUAAGAAUGGUACCUAGGGUGCCCAGAGUAGGGCGCAGCGCUGAAUAUUUAUACAAAGCAAACCUGUCACUUCUGAAAUUAACUUUUUGGGCAAAACUGGCUCUGCAUGUAUCUGUUCUCUGAGAACAGGGUUCAUCCUAACAGAUUUGAACUCGGCCAUGUAGCAAACCCCUGAUGAGUACUGGAACAUCAGCUCUGAGAGCUGGAAACAGCCUAAAAGUAACUCUCCAGGCCCCCACCCCAACCCACAGGGCUGUGGAGGAAAGACCUCUGACCUGAGUUCAAAUUCUGAUUCUCCUAGGGGUGCCCCAGGCCUCUCAGUUCAGCAAGCGCUUGGGCUCGGGGUCCUGCACGAGGAGGCUCUCAUGCCCUCACCCCUCACCACCCCAUCCCAAUUCUGGGGGUCCUGAGGCCCACUUAGAGCUCUUCUUCUCCCAGGAAGCCACUGAUGAAAUGUUGGCUUCAGAACCUCUCCUCCCACACACGGGGAUGCCGGGUGGCCUAGCCAGGUCAUGUAACUUGCCAAGCACCGUGCGUGGCCUUUCGACCUGCGUCCGUGGGCCGGGCCUUUCCCUGGCAUGUACUCCAGCUCCGGGCUCUCCCAGUCAGUACUGGCGGAGGGAGGGCAUGUGGCCACGCCAUUCAGAGGUAGGUUACUCCCAAUGGGAGGAAGGUCCGGGAGGAGGGUCCUGGAGCCGGGAUGAGCCAGAUGUCACUCACAUCCUUUCCUCCUCCCACAGCUCCUGAGUAGCCCUGGGUGCACUGGAGCAUGGGACAAGGACCUUGUAACUGCGUGGUCCCCAGUUCUAAGCAGGGUGGAGCAGGGGUUUAUGGGAUCCGUGACAGCUCCCUUUUUAUUUAUUUAUUUAUUUAUUUUAUUUUUUACUUUAAUUUUCUAAGAUUUCAUUUGAACAAAAUUCUGGGAGAUGAAAAAAGAAGCGCAAGAAACUGCAGAAUUGCUGUAAUACCCUCAUGCGAUUGAUGGGGAGCCUAAGGUCAGAGGGUAGGGGCCCAGGAUACUCGGCAAACAAAAGCUAAUUCUGGGACUUGAGUUCUUUGGAUUCCUGGACAAGGCAUUUUACCCUCUGAACUCUUCCAGCCUGUCAGGUCUUUUCAAGAAGAAGAGUAAUAACCAUGUGGAGCCUGACCUUCAGGUGACCUCAGGCAUUUACUCCUCUCAGCCAUCUUCUUCAAGUCCUCCAGUGAUGUCAGGACUUCUGCAUGGCUGAGCCUCCCCUGCACCCCGCAGGGGCCCUGGAGGCAGAAGGUGCUCAUCAGUCUUUAAAAGCAGAGAGGAGAGGGAGCUGCCGCUUUUAUCAGCACCAGCAGCACCGGGCAGGCCCUAGGCAACGUGCCAGGGGCUGCAUCCACAUCCUGAUUUAACCACCAUCACCAGGCUCUGGGGGAGAGAUGGCUCCCACUUCACGGAUGAGAACAUGGGAGACUCAGAGAGGAAAAGGCGGAUGAUCAGGAGGCCUUCGGCUGCUGGAAGCUUCAAACUGAGGGGUCUCUGCUGCCAAACCCUUCCUGCUCACGUCCUCCCCUGCUUCCGGGUACUGGUCCCCAAAGGAAGCAAGGUUUCUAUCCGCUCCUUCCUUCCUAUGUAGGUCAAAUUCCAUUCCAGCAACUCGCUGGGCCUUGCCCAGUUUGAGCCAGGACAGCCCAGGCCCAAGCUCAGAAACCUCUCAGUCGCUUGGGUAGAUUCUGCUGUAAGCCCAGGUGGGUCAACUAUGGUCCGUGGCCAAAUCCAGCCUGCCAGCUAAGAAUGGGUUUUACAUUUUUAAGUGGCUGGGAAAAAAAAAAAAAAAAGAAGGCUAAUAUAUUGUGAUACAUGAAAAUUGUAUUAAAUUUAAAUUUCAGGGGAGUUCCCUGGCAGUCCAGUGGUUAGGGCUCAGUGCUUUCACUGCCGUGGGCCUGAGGUUCAACCCCUGGUUGGGGAACUAAGACCCCACAAGCCGUGUGGCUCGGCAAAAAAAAAAAAAAAAUCAAA
Orcinus orca (killer whale) is the source of this 29026-nucleotide RNA transcript. It is a transcript of the gene named zinc finger protein 691, with no coding region annotated. Lineage: Eukaryota; Metazoa; Chordata; Mammalia; Artiodactyla; Delphinidae. The transcript has 5 exons. The record is from RefSeq and is a predicted model, not a curated record.